AAAAAAAAAAAAAGGAGGAAUGCGGACUUUAAUUUAAAAGCGAAGACCAACGAAACGGUGUUCCGCUCGUCGUUCUUUCCAUGUUUUCCUUUUUCUUACUUUUCCGCGUGAAAAUAAGAAUGGAAAAUAUUAAUUACUAAUAAAUGCGUGGGGCAUGAGAUUGGUGGUUUAUAGCGGCGGAAGGGGAGAAGGGGAACGCCAGCAGCCGGCGGCCGGCGGUGGAGUGGGGAGGAGUGGCGGGAAAGAUAGAGGGCGUCUGGCGACAGCAAAGCUACUUGAAGCGGGAGCCCAUGAGCGAUGCCCGAUGGGCUGUGGCCGAGGCUGGGAGAGAGGGGCAACGAAGGAGAAAA
RNAcentral lists this long non-coding RNA (350 nucleotides) under Elaeis guineensis (African oil palm). RNAcentral describes it as "long non-coding RNA (EGUI_LNC082921)". The record is from RNAcentral. Lineage: Eukaryota; Viridiplantae; Streptophyta; Magnoliopsida; Arecales; Arecaceae.